AGCCUGGCACACCUGAGGAGGAGGAAGAGGUAUGUAGUUUUGACGACAAAGCAUCAUGAAGGCUUCACAAACUGGCCGAGUCCUGUGUCUUGGAACUGGAACUCCAAAGACGUGGGGCCUCAUCGGGAUUUGGUUGGUGAAUUGGGAACAGCUCUCCGGAAGAGGAACAUCCGCUAUGGACUAUACCACUCACUCUUAGAGUGGUUCCAUCCACUCUAUCUACUUGAUAAGAAAAAUGGCUUCAAAACACAGCAUUUUGUCAGUGCAAAAACAAUGCCAGAGCUGUACGACCUUGUUAACAGCUAUAAACCUGAUCUGAUCUGGUCUGAUGGGGAGUGGGAAUGUCCUGAUACUUACUGGAACUCCACAAAUUUUCUUUCAUGGCU
This 386-nucleotide long non-coding RNA is filed under the name Pan troglodytes (chimpanzee). RNAcentral describes it as "long non-coding RNA NONPTRT000905". The record is from RNAcentral. Lineage: Eukaryota; Metazoa; Chordata; Mammalia; Primates; Hominidae.